UGGGGAAUAUUGGACAAUGGGCGAAAGCCUGAUCCAGCCAUGCCGCGUGUGUGAAGAAGGUCUUCGGAUUGUAAAGCACUUUAAGUUGGGAGGAAGGGCAUUAACCUAAUACGUUAGUGUUUUGACGUUACCGACAGAAUAAGCACCGGCUAACUCUGUGCCAGCAGCCGCGGUAAUACAGAGGGUGCAAGCGUUAAUCGGAAUUACUGGGCGUAAAGCGCGCGUAGGUGGUUUGUUAAGUUGGAUGUGAAAUCCCCGGGCUCAACCUGGGAACUGCAUUCAAAACUGACUGACUAGAGUAUGGUAGAGGGUGGUGGAAUUUCCUGUGUAGCGGUGAAAUGCGUAGAUAUAGGAAGGAACACCAGUGGCGAAGGCGUCCACCUGGACUAAUACUGACACUGAGGUGCGAAAGCGUGGGGAGCAAACA
RNAcentral lists this ribosomal RNA (427 nucleotides) under uncultured bacterium. RNAcentral's name for it is "partial 16S ribosomal RNA". It matches the Rfam family "Bacterial small subunit ribosomal RNA", at positions 355 to 774 of the family's 1533-position model. The record is from RNAcentral.